GAAUUUUGGACAAUGGGCGAAAGCCUGAUCCAGCAAUGCCGCGUGCAGGAUGAAGGCCUUCGGGUUGUAAACUGCUUUUGUACGGAACGAAAAGCUUUGGGUUAAUACCCUGGAGUCAUGACGGUACCGUAAGGAUCAGCACCGGCUAACUACGUGCCAGCAGCCGCGGUAAUACGUAGGGUGCAAGCGUUAAUCGGAAUUACUGGGCGUAAAGCGUGCGCAGGCGGUUUUGUAAGACAGAGGUGAAAUCCCCGGGCUCAACCUGGGAACUGCCUUUGUGACUGCAAGGCUAGAGUACGGCAGAGGGGGGUGGAAUUCCGCGUGUAGCAGUGAAAUGCGUAGAUAUGCGGAGGAACACCGAUGGCGGAGGCAGCCAUCUGGCCUAAUACUGACGCUGAGGUACGAAAGAAUGGGGAGCAAAC
RNAcentral lists this ribosomal RNA (422 nucleotides) under uncultured bacterium. RNAcentral describes it as "bacterial SSU rRNA". It matches the Rfam family "Bacterial small subunit ribosomal RNA", at positions 359 to 773 of the family's 1533-position model. The record is from RNAcentral.